Molecule: ribosomal RNA, 725 nt
Filed under: uncultured bacterium
Lineage: Bacteria
Description: bacterial SSU rRNA
Rfam family: Bacterial small subunit ribosomal RNA
Source: RNAcentral
GUCGACGUGAAAGUCCGCUUCGGUGGAUGAGUAAAGUGGCAAACGGGUGAGUAACACGUGGAUAAUCUGCCCUCGGGUGGGGGAUAACCUUGCGAAAGCGGGGCUAAUACCGCAUACGAAGAAGCUGAAUAAUCGGUCUUCUUUAAAGCCUUCGGGCGCCGGAGGAGGAGUCCGCGGCCCAUUAGCUGGUUGGUAGGGUAACGGCCUACCAAGGCGACGAUGGGUAGCCGGCCUGAGAGGGUGUCCGGCCACACUGGGACUGAGUCACGGCCCAGACUCCUACGGGAGGCAGCAGUGGGGAAUUUUGCGCAAUGGGCGAAAGCCUGACGCAGCGACGCCGCGUGGGUGAUGAAGUUUUUCGGAACGUAAAACCCUGUCAGGAGGGACGAAGAUCUGACGGUACCUCCAAAGGAAGCCCCGGCUAACUCCGUGCCAGCAGCCGCGGUAAUACGGGGGGGGCUAGCGUUGUUCGGAAUCACUGGGCGUAAAGGGCGCGUAGGCGGUUUGUCAGGUCAGGUGUGAAAUCCCUGGGCUCAACCCAGGAAUUGCGCUUGAAACCGACAGGCUAGAGUGCAGGAGAGGAGGGCGGAAUUCCCGGUGUAGCGGUGAAAUGCGUAGAUAUCGGGAAGAACAUCGGUGGCGAAGGCGGCUCUCUGGACUGUAACUGACGCUGAGGCGCGAAAGCGUGGGGAGCAAACGGGAUUAGAUACCCCGGUAGUCCACGC